AGUGAACGCUGGCGGUAGGCCUAACACAUGCAAGUCGAACGGCAGCACAGGAGAGCUUGCUCUCUGGGUGGCGAGUGGCGGACGGGUGAGGAAUACAUCGGAAUCUACUUUUUCGUGGGGGAUAACGUAGGGAAACUUACGCUAAUACCGCAUACGACGUACGGGUGAAAGCAGGGGAUCCGCGGACCUUGCGCGAUUGAAUGAGCCGAUGUCGGAUUAGCUAGUUGGCGGGGUAAAGGCCCACCAAGGCGACGACCCGUAGCUGGUCUGAGAGGAUGAUCAGCCACACUGGAACUGAGACACGGUCCAGACUCCUACGGGAGGCAGCAGUGGGGAAUAUUGGACAAUGGGCGCAAGCCUGAUCCAGCCAUACCGCGUGGGUGAAGAAGGCCUUCGGGUUGUAAAGCCCUUUUGUUGGGAAAGAAAUCCAGCUGGUUAAUACCCGGUUGGGAUGACGGUACCCAAAGAAUAAGCACCGGCUAACUUCGUGCCAGCCGCCGCAGUAA
RNAcentral lists this ribosomal RNA (506 nucleotides) under uncultured bacterium. RNAcentral's name for it is "partial 16S ribosomal RNA". It matches the Rfam family "Bacterial small subunit ribosomal RNA", at positions 29 to 523 of the family's 1533-position model. The record is from RNAcentral.